Molecule: unclassified non-coding RNA, 380 nt
Filed under: soil metagenome
Description: partial contains 5.8S ribosomal RNA, internal transcribed spacer 2, and large subunit ribosomal RNA
Rfam family: 5.8S ribosomal RNA (bases 1-120)
Source: RNAcentral
GAUGAAGAACGCAGCGAAAUGCGAUAAGUAAUGUGAAUUGCAGAAUUCAGUGAAUCAUCGAAUCUUUGAACGCACCUUGCACCCUUUGGCAUUCCGAAGGGUAUGCUCGUUUGAGUGUCAUUGUACUCUCACACUCCCACUCUUUUGGAUUGGGAGCGGUGGACUUGGGUGUUGCUGCUUCACUGUGGCUCGCCUCAAAUGGAGUAGUGCAACUCUCGGUUGGACAUAGUACGGCGUGAUAAGUGUCUUCGCCGGCGCCUCACUAGAGGGUGGCCGAUCGGGAGCUCUGUGCUUCAAACCGUCUUCGGACAAUCUCUGACAACUUGACCUCAAAUCGAGUAGGACUACCCGCUGAACUUAAGCAUAUCAAUAAGCGGAGA